AUGAUCAUUAUUCAGAAUAUGUCGUUUCUAGCAUUUGAAUAUCUAAUGAUUAUGACAUGGAUGGUUCCUUAUUUUAUUUAAUUGCGCCUUUUGAUCAUGUUUAUUCUAUGUCCUAGGUAUAUGGCAUAUAUUAUGGACACUAAUGAAGAGGAGAGAGUUAAGGUACACCUUAUUCUGAAAGAACUAGCGAGGAAAUCACUAUCAGCAACACAGGUCCUUCAAAAAUAUGUAAAGAAUUGGAUAUCAAUUGUUGUACCAUUUCAGGAUAAGUGAUGACAUACCAGUUGACAAGGAUACUGGUUUGAGAUUGCAACUUGAUAUGCCAAUUUUUGAAAGUUUUUUGAAAGCAGAAUCAAACAUUUUGGACACUUUGAAUUUUAAUUUUUGUAAAAUUUUACUUUCUAUGUACUCAUUAUGAUUUGGGAAUGGAGUGUCUUUGAUGUGUA
Molecule: non-coding RNA, 446 nt
Organism: Camellia sinensis
Lineage: Eukaryota; Viridiplantae; Streptophyta; Magnoliopsida; Ericales; Theaceae
Source: RefSeq, a predicted model, not a curated record